RNAcentral lists this ribosomal RNA (292 nucleotides) under uncultured bacterium. RNAcentral's name for it is "partial 16S ribosomal RNA". It matches the Rfam family "Bacterial small subunit ribosomal RNA", at positions 505 to 796 of the family's 1533-position model. The record is from RNAcentral.
GUGUCAGCCGCCGCGGUAAGACAGAGGGUGCAAACGUUGCUCGGAAUUACUGGGCGUAAAGCGCGUGUAGGCUGAUUCGUGUGUCGGGCGUGAAAUCCCUGGGCUCAACCCAGGAACUGCACCCGAAACUGCGAGUCUAGAGUGGUGGAGAGGGUAGUGGAAUUCCUGGUGUAGAGGUGAAAUUCGUAGAUAUCAGGAGGAACACCGGUGGCGAAGGCGGCUACCUGGACACCAACUGACGCUGAGACGCGAAAGCGUGGGGAGCAAACAGGAUUAGAAACCCUUGUAGUCC